GAGGGUAUAGCUCAGUGGUAGAGCACAUGCUUAGCAUGCAUGAGGUCCUGGGUUCAAUCCCCAGUACCUUCA
RNAcentral lists this transfer RNA (72 nucleotides) under Camelus bactrianus (Bactrian camel). It matches the Rfam family "tRNA". Rfam says of the family: Transfer RNA (tRNA) molecules are approximately 80 nucleotides in length. Their secondary structure includes four short double-helical elements and three loops (D, anti-codon, and T loops). The record is from Rfam by way of RNAcentral. Lineage: Eukaryota; Metazoa; Chordata; Mammalia; Artiodactyla; Camelidae. RNAcentral also lists the same sequence under 1 other name.